Molecule: ribosomal RNA, 253 nt
Filed under: uncultured bacterium
Lineage: Bacteria
Description: partial 16S ribosomal RNA
Rfam family: Bacterial small subunit ribosomal RNA
Source: RNAcentral
UACGAAGGGGGCAAGCGUUGUUCGGAUUUACUGGGCGUAAAGGGCGCGUAGGCGGAUCUGCAAGUCAGAGGUGAAAGCCCUGGGCUCAACCCGGGAAUUGCCUUUGAGACUGUUGGUCUUGAGUAUGGGAGAGGGUGGCGGAAUACCCAGUGUAGAGGUGAAAUUCGUAGAUAUUGGGUAGAACACCGGUGGCGAAGGCGGCCACCUGGCCCAUAACUGACGCUGAGGCGCGAAAGCGUGGGGAGCAAACAGG